Molecule: long non-coding RNA, 1479 nt
Organism: Populus trichocarpa (black cottonwood)
Lineage: Eukaryota; Viridiplantae; Streptophyta; Magnoliopsida; Malpighiales; Salicaceae
Exons: 2
Source: RefSeq, a predicted model, not a curated record
ACAGUCCUUCAGGCAGCAGUGCUUCUUAUCUUCUUUUUCCUCUGCUCAACUUCUGCCAUGCUCAGGUAUCUCAAAUACACGAUGGGUUGGCUGUUGCAGCUGCUUGGCUGGCCUUUCAUCACCUGUUUUUUUAGGAUUGAUGGGUUGUGGAGAGUUUUUGUUUGGCUGUGGCUCAACUUUUGUUGUCAAUGCAGAAUCAAGCCCUUUUUCCCUGCUUUGUUUCUGCUAUGCUCAGCUCUGUCACGACUGAGUUGGCUGUUGCAGCUUUGGGAUCCUUGGGCUGCAUUUCUGCUGGGUCUAUUGCAGGUUGUCUUGGCUUCUCUGCUGGUCUUUUUGUUUGCGUCAAGUCUGGCUUGGCUCAACCUCUUUAUAGAAAGAGUUGCCCUUCGGCUGUGGCUCAGCUUUUGACGUCAAUGCAGAAUCAUAAAUGAGUGGGGCAGCAACAUCAUUACACACUUAUUUGCCCUCACCUUGGGUCUCUCUCCAGCAUUGGAAGAGCUGCUACUGUUUUCUUGGGGAUUAGCAUUUAGUUCGUUUGAGACAAUCCUUUCCACUCCCAGCAUACGUUUAUGCUUUUGUCAGACUAUGUUCUCCUUUUAUUCCAACUAGAAUUCGGUUAUUUCCCUAUUCAGUUUUAGUUUGCAGGCAAGACUUCAUCUUCUGGUUUGUAAUGUCGCUAUCUCAGUUCAUGUCAUGCCCCUUUGCUGGGGGUGUUUUUGGUUUUUCCUUUUUUAGUGAUGGCAUAUCAGUUCUUGAGAGUCUUUGUCGCAAGGACUUUUCUUGAGGCUGGGUCUUGAAUUUCCAAUUAGCUCUUCAUAUUUUGUUUUGUUUUGCUUUCAAGUCUGGGCAUCACUCUUUGGCCAUUUGUUGCUACGCCAUCAGUGGAGUCUUCUUCUUUUUCCUCCAUUGCUUCUUCUCUUAUCCUUGGGUUUCCCAUGCUUUCACAUAUUUUUGUGGGUUGGAGUAGAUAGAUUCAUUUUCAUUUUGUCUUGGUUUUCUUUCAUGCCUCUCUCUCGGGUUUUUUUAGCUCUCUGUUCUGUUCAUAUGGUUUUCUACCAUUGGCGCUCAUUUUUCUAGAGCUCCUCUUCCUUUAUUUUGAUUAACUUGCUUUUGUUUUUUAUUUUUUUUCUGUUGAUUUCAUUGAGUUUAUCUUCCUGAUUUCUUAGUUUCUUUUCUUUUAAUGUAGGUUUGUGUUGUGUUAUCACUAUCUCUACAGAAUCUUUUUUCGGUUGGUUUGCUGGAGCUUUUCAUUCCUUAGAAGAUGUUCUUCUUUCCCAGCUUGCCUACCAUGUGCUUGCUUUUGGGUCUGGAAGGAUGGCUGAGCUUUGUGUGGAUUGGUGAAGCUGCUUUCUCCCUGGAUCAUUGUCUGACUCAGCUUCUUCUCUAAAUUGAGCUUUGUGUGCAACAUUACUCAGCUUCUUUCUAUGAGUGGGACAACAACAUCAUUAUGUUUUUAAUGCAUAAACCCACUUGGCCUCA